This 73-nucleotide transfer RNA is filed under the name Camelus bactrianus (Bactrian camel). It matches the Rfam family "tRNA". From Rfam's summary of the family: Transfer RNA (tRNA) molecules are approximately 80 nucleotides in length. RNAcentral also lists the same sequence under 1 other name. The record is from Rfam by way of RNAcentral. Lineage: Eukaryota; Metazoa; Chordata; Mammalia; Artiodactyla; Camelidae.
GAGGGUAUAGCUCAAUUGGUAGAGCGCUUGCUUAGCAUGCAUGAGGUACUGGGUUCAAUCCCCAGUACCUCCA